UUCGGACGAAAAGGACUGGAUAAGUGGCCCGCUGCCAAGACCGCAUUGGAUCUCCUGCAGAACUGUCAACAACACCCCGAUCACCGCAUUGAGCGAUUCUGUGAUCACAUGAAGCUAUGUUGUGUUUUGUGUCACCUUUACGAUCAUAACUCUUUGGGCGAACAGAUGGGUAUUUCUUCUCUGAAAAAAAAAUAGUGACAAAACACUUGGUGUCAUACACGAAUACAACCAGACGUAUGAUGUAAUGUUUAUAAUGAGAGGAACCAAUGAAGACGAUCUUUUUAAACUGGCUAAGAAGAUAACGAGCGAUUUUGGGGUUCUGAAAAAUAAGAUUCCAGAAGAAAACAAACGCAAACCAAAGAGGAAAAUAAUGGAUGACUUUGUUGAGUCAGAGGAAC
This is a long non-coding RNA of Dreissena polymorpha, 398 nucleotides long. RefSeq lists it as uncharacterized. NCBI's taxonomy places the organism in Eukaryota, Metazoa, Mollusca, Bivalvia, Myida, Dreissenidae. The record is from RefSeq and is a predicted model, not a curated record. The transcript is spliced from 3 exons.